This is a long non-coding RNA of Anguilla rostrata (American eel), 1220 nucleotides long. RefSeq lists it as uncharacterized. Lineage: Eukaryota; Metazoa; Chordata; Actinopteri; Anguilliformes; Anguillidae. The transcript has 2 exons. The record is from RefSeq and is a predicted model, not a curated record.
CCCUCUAGCCAGUUACUCGCUCAACCCAACAAAAAUUCGAAGAAAAAAAAACUCAGAAGGAACAGUCGUUUAUAUAGACAGGCACAGAAAGAAAAAUAUCGUUGAUUGUCUUGAUUGUUUGGAAGCGGGCGCGGUAGGUAAUUUCAUUAACAUGUAAUUUCAUCUAUGCAACAUUUUAAAGAGAGAUGAAUAAACAGCCCUCACGAACGCCGGCUAUUAUUAACGGCAACUUUGAUUGCUUGAGCAAAAUCAGCAGGUUGCUGGUGAGCUGAAAAUCGGUGGGGCACAAAACUUUCCUUUAAACUAAUCAUUGAUCUCAACCAGUUUUCAAUAGUAAUUUUCCUUUAUAAUCAAAAGCAUGCCAACGAUCGGAUUAAUCAAAUGGCAAGUAGCCUAACAUACAGCGUCUUCUCACUGUGUUUGAGGGAUUAAAUGAUAAAUUCAAUUCAUCCGUUAAAAAUCGGUUUUAAUCACCAAGUAGUCUACACUUAACAAACAAGAUACACCAGUAUGCUAUCUACCGUGUUAGUUUUCAGAAUAACCCAGGAAAAAUAAAACCUGCAUUUCAGUUUUGUUUACAAUCUACGCAUUGCAGAUAUUUGCCAUGAAUACGAGUGCGGAGAAAGAAAUGCAUGUAUCUGCAAACAAAAUGUGCACAAUUUCGUAUUGCAAAUGAAAAUAAAUGUAGGCUAUAAGGCCUAGGCUACUCGCUAAAACUGCCUAUUUGGGGGAGAGCUGGCUAUAUAUGAUAGUAUUGAGUAGGCCUAGCCUAUUUUGUGGAUUAAUUGUAUUGAUACUCAAUGAAAAUCCACUGCUUAGUGAUUAAAACAGAUUUUUCUAAAUCGCAUUUAUCAUUUAAUCUCCCUAACACAAUGCGAAGAAGCUGUGUCCCUUUCCAAUUGAUUAGUCAGAUGUUUGUAUGCUUGUUAAUCACUGAAAAUUAAUUAAAACAGUUUGAGAUCAAUGAUUAGUUUAAAGGAUUGUUUUGCGCCUCACCAGUUUAAGAAAGAUGGAUAAAGGAGGAAGAAAGUGAGGACAAGAGGUGGAUGACCGAUUAUUUUCGUGGGUAAAAAAGAAUUCUCAGCAUUAAUGACACUCAAUAAACUUGAAAUAUAUUAUGUAAAAGCUUGCAUCAAUAGUAUACAUUCUUUUUAAAACAUUGUUUUCCUUAAUUACAAAUAUGUGCACAAUACAUUAAGGAUACACCUGUUUUGAGCAGA